Seriola aureovittata is the source of this 3147-nucleotide long non-coding RNA. RefSeq lists it as uncharacterized. Lineage: Eukaryota; Metazoa; Chordata; Actinopteri; Carangiformes; Carangidae. The transcript is spliced from 10 exons. The record is from RefSeq and is a predicted model, not a curated record.
GUGAGCAUCACAAACGCAGGAAUGGCUGAACCUCCUAAGGUAAUAUUCAUCUGUAUCCCGCAGAACCGCUCCCGACAAGAAACCACGUUUAACAGCAAAGAAAAGAAGCAACACGAGUAAAUCUCGGUGUGGCUUUCCACCGCUGGAGACGGCUCCUGAGAGUAAAGAGAUGCGGUUUGAUGUCGAGCUCGCAACUUUCCUGUUAGCCUGGACCUGAGCCAGUACAAAUGCAAUACCGCCUCCACCUGUCUCACCAACGGCAGAGAGUCACAGUGAGGUGGAUCUAGGACCAGAAGUCCAGUCUAAUCACCAAUGAUGGACCAGCACCUGCCUUUUCUUCUGCAUCUGGCCUCAUCAAUCAACUCCAUUACAUCAACACCUUGAGGUAUGGCAGAAUCCACCUCGGGCCAGAACCACGCCUUGCCCAGCAAGAAAUGGCCCCGGCUUGAGGUCUGUUGGCAGAUUAUAUUUGUUCUGGAAAGAACAGUAAAAUGAUGAGACAGGCAACAGGUCACAAAGAAGCUCGCUGGUGCUGCUUCUGAAACAGCUGCCUGGGUUACCGAUGUUGGUGUGUUGGCUUUCCAGGACGGCUGCUGGAUUGCCUGUCGUCUCAUUGAGGCAUAGCGGUCCUAGCUGGAGGGGAAGCGCAGGAUGCUCGGCCUGACUGUUGCCGAGGUGGAAGACACGUAGGGCAGAGGAGACGGCCCUCCUCAUCAAUGGCACUUAACUUCCAAUGCCUCCCCAGUUAAUGUUGUUUGGGUGAGCCGUCUCUUUGUCCGUAAAUCCAUAGUCCUGAUCAUUACCGUUGUGUCUGUCCUGUUGAGUCUCUCAUCCUCCCCUCCUCUCGGGAGACUCUUGGGGUAUUGUACUGUAUUACUUUCUGUAGCUUAAGUUGGUGCCCUCUUGCGAGUGCUGUGCAAAAGGUUGCUAACCUCGUACACCCACGCCAGUCUUUCCUGGAGGUCAUCUGUCUUUCCAGAGUCACCGAACUUCCUCGGUUGCCAUCCAGACUUUCCUGGAAGUCACUGGUUGCCCAGAGAGCUAUGUCAUAUUAAAAGGAGACACAUUUUUAUGAGUCACUGUCAAACAAUGUUACAGAUUGAGAAAUGUCCGAUGCAGCUGAGGGGACAAAUGUCUCUGUUCGGAGGGACACAGACCUGUAACUGUGGUUUCCAUACACACAAGGUACCAGAAGUCUCAAAUAAAGUUAUGAAGUGUUGGUGUUGUAUUCUGUAUUCUGUAAAAUUUCACUUUCUUGUCUGUGAACCUCUAGCCUUCCAGCUCUGUCCCUGUGUCAUCUUUGGGGACACCACAACCAGGACCCUCAUCUGCAUCAACAUCUUCUUUGUCACCCACCAUAACGCCUGGACGGACACCUCAAAAGCCCAUUUUGAAUUUGACAUCGUUUGCAAAGCCACGGUUUGGUGGCUCUCAUGGUGCCGCUUUAAAGCCAAACCUGAGAGCAUGCAACUGAGCCCGUCAGUGGAAGGUCUGAGUCAUCCAGCACUGUCACAAGUGCGAUGGCAAGGAGGACACCGUCCCCUGCCCGCAGUCCCAGGAUGUUAGUUCAAACUGUCUCUCCUCUUUCACUUCCUCCCUGUCCUGUGCCUUCAACCGACUCAACUUCCUCCAUUCCACCGGCCACUGCCAGAGCUGAAGUGUCAUCUGCCGCCUCCUCCUGUACCUCCUCUGCUCCUCUCGCUCCUGUGACCUCUGCAUCUGCCUCUGCUGGUGUCUCCUCUGCUGCUCCAUCUGUGGCUGGUCCUUCAGCCCAGCCUGCACCUGAUACUCUGCCACUGGCUGAAGAUGUGGAGACUGCUCCUGGGUCAGAGCCUUGCUGGCUGCCCACAAAGCUGAUCAAGACCAUACCAGCUCAAGUUCAGAAAUGGAUCUCAGCAGCUCUCUGGAAGCACUGGCGGUUGCGAACUGACCUAAAACUGUGGUAUGAUCCACCAGAGCCAGCCCUCAUUUAUCACCAGGCCCCUGAUCCAGAGCACUUUUUUGCGCACCGCCUUCUCUUGUGGGUGCCAAACCACCUAUGGAAGGUCAGGCUGACCUGUCCUGUGGGUGGAAAACAGCUCACAAGCUACAGAGCCCACAAGAGAGCCCACCACGUUCUGGAUGUCGGCAGGUAUUACCUGAUGAUAACAGAGACUCUCUGGCAGUGCAGUUGGUUGCAAAACAACUUACCUUUCCAGCAGCAAGACUGUCUUGGACCAGCUGGAUUUGGCGCACAGGCUGGAGUUCAGACUGAUCCUGACUAAAAUACGCUUGGGUGAUUGGCUUUCUGAGGGAGAGGGCCCUCGGUAACAGUCCCACUCGCUUGGUCAGACAGCUGAGGGAAAACCACAGCGAGGAGUGGCUUAAGCGCCUCUGCCGAUACCUCGGGGCACGCUCGGACUUUGCUGCCCGGCCGAGUCUGCUCCCUGUCAAGUUCCAUGAACCACGUGAGCCAGUAGAUAUUCCUUCACACAGGUAGAUGCUGGCUGUUUAAGGACGAGACAUUCUCAGCGGGCUGGACCACAUCAAAGCCGGCAUAACGUCCACCUUCAGCAGUAUCCUAAAAAUGGACUCUACAAAGAAGGUAAAUAUUUUUAACCGUUAAUGCCGUAAAUUACUACAUUAUAAACAAAAGUAGUCUAAAAUACAGCAUUAGCAAUAUAUGCAUGUAAAAUAUGAUAUUUAGAAAUGAAACAUAGUACUAUUAUACGAGCGCUCACAUAUAAAUUAAAUAAAUUGUUUAAUCAUUCACUGUCUUUUCUGUGCCAUUGCAGAUCACCAUCUUUCAAUCUUUUUUAAUUUAAAGUCUUUAAAAAAAAAAAAAAAAAAACACCCCGUGUUAUUAUUUGAAAAUUGUUAGUAAGGCAAAUUGUUGUAAUUUAGAACCAGAAGUAUUAAAGUUGUAUCCUGCAUUUAAUUAUGUUCUUUGUUAUCAGGAUAAGCAAAACCCUGGUGAAUGUUUGAAUUCCUUUGUUUUUCCUUUGGAUGCAUUAAGAAUGUAAGAUGUUUUAGUUGCCCUUUAUUCAUUAUUUUUGUGAUUUGCAUGGCAAGGUAUUUACUUUUGUUUGUUGUACUGAAGAAAUCAUCUAUCCAUCCUACCAUCAGUUCCUUGCUGAAUUUCCUGAACAAAAUAAAUGGUUAAAUGUC